Molecule: non-coding RNA, 437 nt
Filed under: Solanum lycopersicum (tomato)
Lineage: Eukaryota; Viridiplantae; Streptophyta; Magnoliopsida; Solanales; Solanaceae
Description: Eukaryotic large subunit ribosomal RNA
Rfam family: Eukaryotic large subunit ribosomal RNA
Source: Rfam by way of RNAcentral
CCUGCUGAGUUUAAGCAUAUCAAUAAGCGGAGGAAAAGAAAUUUACAGGGAUUUCCCUAGUAACGGCGAGCGAACCAGGAACAGCCCAGCCUUAGAAUCGGGCGGCUCCGUCAUCCGAAUUUUAGUCUGGAGAAGCGUCCUCAGCGGCGGACUGGGCCCAAGUCCCCUGAAACGGGGCGCCGGAGAGGGUGAGAGCCCUGUCGUGCCCGGACCCUGUCGCACCCCGAGGCACUGUCUACGAUUCGGGUUGUUUGGGAAUGCAGCCCAAAUCGGGCGAUGAAUUCCGUCCAAGGCUAAAUACUGGCGAGAGACCGAUAGCGAACAAGUACCGCAAGGGAAAGAUGAAAAGCACUUUAAAAAGAGAGUCAAAGAGUGCUUGAAAUUGUCGGGAGAGAAGCGGAUGGGGGCCGACGAUUAUCCCCGAUCGGAUGUGGAAC